RNAcentral lists this ribosomal RNA (253 nucleotides) under uncultured bacterium. RNAcentral describes it as "partial 16S ribosomal RNA". It matches the Rfam family "Bacterial small subunit ribosomal RNA", at positions 524 to 776 of the family's 1533-position model. The record is from RNAcentral.
UACGUAGGUGGCGAGCGUUGUCCGGAUUUACUGGGCGUAAAGGAUGCGUAGGCGGAUAUUUAAGUGGGAUGUGAAAUCCCCGAGCUUAACUCGGGGGCUGCAUUCCAAACUGGAUAUCUAGAGUGUCGGAGGGGAAAGUGGAAUUCCUAGUGUAGCGGUGAAAUGCGUAGAGAUUAGGAAGAACACCAGUGGCGAAGGCGACUUUCUGGACGAUAACUGACGCUGAGGCAUGAAAGCGUGGGGAGCAAACAGG